GCUGUGGUGGCGCAUGCUUGUAGUCCCAGCUACUCGGAAGGCUGAGGCUGGAGAAUCUUCUGAGUCCAGGAGUUCUGGACUGUAGUGCGCUAUGCCAAUCGGGUGACUGCACUAAGUUGGGUAUCAAUAUGGUGACCUCCUGGGAGCGAGGGACCACCAGGUUGCCUAAGGAGGGGUGAACCGGCCCAGGUUGGAAAUGGAGCAGGUCAAAACUCCCGUGCUAAUCAGCAGCGGGAUCACGUCUGUGAAUAGCCACUGAACUCCAACCUGGGCAACACAGCAAGACCCUGUCUCUA
Molecule: unclassified non-coding RNA, 296 nt
Organism: Callithrix jacchus (white-tufted-ear marmoset)
Lineage: Eukaryota; Metazoa; Chordata; Mammalia; Primates; Cebidae
Rfam family: Metazoan signal recognition particle RNA
About the family: The signal recognition particle (SRP) is a universally conserved ribonucleoprotein. It is involved in the co-translational targeting of proteins to membranes. The eukaryotic SRP consists of a 300-nucleotide 7S RNA and six proteins: SRPs 72, 68, 54, 19, 14, and 9.
Source: Ensembl